This 207-nucleotide ribosomal RNA is filed under the name uncultured bacterium. RNAcentral's name for it is "partial 16S ribosomal RNA". It matches the Rfam family "Bacterial small subunit ribosomal RNA", at positions 568 to 774 of the family's 1533-position model. The record is from RNAcentral.
UCCGUAGGCGGCCGUGUGUGUCGGGUGUGAAAUCCUGCAGCUUAACUGCAGAACUGCGCCCGAAACUACACGGCUAGAGUAUUGGAGAGGUGAGUGGAAUUCCUGGUGUAGCGGUGAAAUGCGUAGAUAUCAGGAGGAACACCAACGGCGAAGGCAGCUCACUGGACAAUUACUGACGCUGAGGGACGAAAGCGUGGGGAGCGAAAG